This 84-nucleotide transfer RNA is filed under the name Lactobacillus phage 521B. It matches the Rfam family "tRNA". From Rfam's summary of the family: Transfer RNA (tRNA) molecules are approximately 80 nucleotides in length. Lineage: Duplodnaviria; Heunggongvirae; Uroviricota; Caudoviricetes; Herelleviridae. The record is from Rfam by way of RNAcentral.
GCCCCUAUGAUGUAAUUGGUAGGCAUGCAAGGUUUAGAACCUUGUGAUAGAAAUAUCGUGCAGGUUCGACUCCUGCUAGGGGCA